UGUCGGCCACCUGGGUGUGGAAAACCUGCCUGUGGUGCAUGUUGUCCAGCUUGUUCGGGAUAGCCUGUCAUGGAUGAAGGUUGGCUCAUUUGCCCUUGGAAACCAGCUUGUGGUGCCUGUUGUCCAGCUUGUUCGGGAUAGCCUGUCAUGGAUGAAGAUUGGCCCAUUUGCCCUUGGAAACCUGUCUGUGAUGAUGGGUUCACAGUCUGAGCUGGGAACCCAGUAGGUGAAGAUCCAGAUGGCGGGAAAAUAUCUGCUAAAAUAUCAGUGUCCCCAAAGCCAAAGUUAUCAACUGCCUCCGUG
Molecule: long non-coding RNA, 303 nt
Filed under: Panax ginseng (ginseng)
Lineage: Eukaryota; Viridiplantae; Streptophyta; Magnoliopsida; Apiales; Araliaceae
Description: long non-coding RNA (PGIN_LNC016170)
Source: RNAcentral